CAGGCACAUGAAGGUUCCCAAGCUAGGGGUCCAAUCGGAACUGCAGCCACUGGCCUACACCACAGCCACAGCAACGUGGGAUCUGAGCCAGGUCUGCAGCCUGCACCGCAGCUCAAGACAAGCCAGAUGCUUCACCCACUGAGCGCGGCCAGGGAUGGAACCUGCUUCCUCAUGGAUACUAGUUGGGUUCGUUACCGCUAAGCCUCAGUGGGAACUCCCUGGAUCUUCUCUAACACUGAACAAAUUUUGUAACAAUAUGGUGAACAAGUUUUUUAACAAUCUGCGGACAGAGCGAACCAUGCACAGUGAGCCACAUGCCAUAUAACCCACCGACACACAACCACUAACUAGCACGAGUAAGCAGUUAGUGAGGGAACGUUAUUAGUGAAACAUGAAAAAUGUGUUGGGGACCCAUGCGAUCCAGCUUACUUGACUGGGAGCUAGUCGUAUGGAUCUCAUCCAUAUAAAGACUCUUCAGGAUAGAAGAACCAUCCAGACGGCAAGAAGCAGCUCAAGCAGGGUUUUGCUAUUUAUUUCUAAUGCUCACUGGCUCAACAUCUCAGCCCUAUGUGCAGCCAUGAACAAACACUCUGCACUGUAGCUACCCUGGAUUACAUGCAGCUACCAGAACACUUGCAUUCUUUUGUUCCUGCUGUUGCAUCUUCUUGAAAUGUUCUCUAUUCUUGAUAAAGAAAAUCUUAUUUACUCUUUAAAGCUUAGUUGAAACAUUACUCCACUGUAAAACCCAAGGCAGAUUUAAGCAUAAAAUCAGCACAUCUGUUGAGUACCUGCUCUGUGCCAGACAGUAAACACUAUCUCAGCAAAUGAGAUAAAAGCCUCUCUGCCUUCACGGAGCUUACACUCUGCUCUCCCACAGCGCUCAGCUCCUGUGAGACAGUUCUUAGCAUGUUCACACUUAUAAUUAUUAGAGAAAUUGGGCAGUGUUUACUUCCCCCGCCGGACUGGGCUUCUUAAAAAGAUGAAUGUGUCUCCCCAUAAAACCAUCUUCUCCAGCAGUUCAGAGGUUUCACUCCCUGCAAUUUCGGAGUUUGUGAAUUGUACAUGCAGGAGGCAUUCAGCAUGUGCUACCCCAAGAGGGGAGCCACCCUGUUAUAAAAGACCCCAUAACUAGCAAGGCUUAAACUUUCUGUGGGAAAGUAACAAACUACAGGAAAUUUUAAAAGUAAUUUAGAAGUCAAAACUAUUCAUCACAAUUCCCCAGAACUCAGUGCUACAUUCCGCUUCCCCUAAAAAAGUGACAAAAACACUGAAACAUUAAUCAAUCCAGAUACCUGCUAAUCACUCCUACAGUUAAUUUGAGCAACAGAGAAAAGAAUCAGUAUUCUCAAAUUAACCCUGCAGAGACAUAUUAGCAUAGAAACACAACACAAAUUCGUGUUGACAUCUGGAGUUCUGCACAGUAACUACACCCAAAACCCAAGUAGAUGGGUCAUGUCCUCUUAAAGCAACUUCAAAAUCACUUCUUAUUGGUAUCAAAUCACAAAAGAUUCCUAUCAUAGGAUUCUCCUAAGUCGCCAUGUCUAAGGUCCACACUCUGGGCUAGCAAAGAAAAUGGUUAAUUUUGUCAGGAUGGGAAGUGAGAGGCAGAGUUUAGACACACGCCACGCUGCUGUGGCAAUGAGCUCCCCAGAGUGUCUUGCAGGGGUCUAUGAUUCUCCCUGGAUCCUCCUCUGUGUUUGGAGAGUUCUCUGAAGGUGACAAGACCCAAAACAUGUUGCUUUAGUGCCCUGGACAAUGACUUGCACCUGCGAGGGGUGCAGUGAUGGUUUUCUCAUGAUUUGAAUAUGUACCAUAUAUUAUCAUAUGACAUGGAAUAUGUACACUCCGCACUUGAGAUUAUCCAAUGCCAACACUGCCACGUUGCUAAUGUUUGACUUUUACAUCACCUGCAUCCUGUUUAUAACCCUGCCCCCCACACAGGAUAGCUCAAAGUGAAUACUGGAAUCGCCCAGGGCCACAAAAAUACCCAAGUUAUUUAUGCAAAGAUAUUGACUGAAUAUACUACAUCAUCCUCAAAGACAAUCAUUCCAAGCAGAAAUCGGCUCAUCGUAGGGAGCGAUAAUCAUUCAUAAUAGAUGUCAUUUAAUCACUCAUUUAUAAACUGGUUUUUGCGAGUUGAUCGUGUAGAAAGAUGAAGAGUCAUCACUAGGAAUGUACGUAAGGCACUGUCCCUGUCCCCACGAGCCUAGUCUGAAGGAGGAGAAAAGAUGGACCUCACUGGAGUAUCCGCUCCUCUUGUUGGCCGGAGCUGUGUAGGGGUCGCGGACUUGCAGGUACCCACAAGGCACCAUCCACAUGUGUGACUCCGCGUCAGGAGGUCGUGUCAGAAACGACUCACGCACUUCACACAGUCGCAAAGUGUCACCGCUUGAAGUGUGCGCAGAAAUCACCUCCUUCCUCUCCUUUUUCACAUACCGAAUAAGAAAUGCCAUAACCGGUGACCGCAUGGUUCCAAAUCACACAUGACAAAGCCACAAAUCACAAGUGUCGGCCCCUGCGCUUUUCCUACCAACACCACACCGAGAUAUCUUUAGGAGAAAUACGGUAUUACCCACGUGUACACAGAAAAUAUAUUCACGAGCUGCUGCUAAUAUUAACAUGCCCAAUGCUGCACACUCUUGCCUUUCAAUUGACUUUUAGCAAUUCCAUCUCAGCUAUAGUCUAGUGACCCCCACGACGAAACGCACGUCUCUUUAUACAUAUUUUAUAAUUUGUUUUAAGUUGUACUUUACAAGGUGUCUAAGUUUUUCUCUGGUAUCCUGAUUUUAGUUAAUAGCAGAAAACAACAACAAGAGCAGAAAUAUGAAAUAACAGUCCUUGAUCUAGUCCUGUUUAGUGUUCCAAAGGAAAAAAAAAAAAUGCAUCUGGGCUGCAGGCACAUGAAAACAUGUCAAUCAGAUGUAAUUGCUCUCCAAGAGAAAUGCUUUUUAGGGAAGUAAAAAAGAACGCAUCCUCAACACAGAGCUUUGUAGCGGCAGCUCAUCUGCUAAUGACAAGCUCGUUUGUUCUCCAACCCGUUCACGAUUCCACAUCGGAAUCGUGACAGAAAAGGACAACCUGACCAGGUCUUCGCUCUUAAACAAUGAGAAAAAUGGUUAUGUGUAGGCAUUUAGAGCUGCUGUAUUUAUAUAAUAUAUAGAAAGACGAUACAUUCUAUAUCCAUGCAUGCGUGGAGUUCAUUACAUCAUCAGCAGUUGCUGAGAAUCAAAGUAACUCUUAACUGCUUACACCAGGGCGGACAAAUAUCAGAACUAUAACACACUCAAAAAAAAUAAUAAGGCUUCUGCUUUUGUUCACAAUAACUCUUAAGGACAUGCAAUAGGCCCAAUUCUGCCUGAAGGCAGUAAGGCGCACAUCCCAGGGGGCAGGCAGUAUUUGAAGGCUGUAUUUGACUGGAUGCACACAGACACCUUUAAAACUCCUUCAAUAUUUUGUCCAUUAUUGUAGAGUCUACUUAAAGGGAAAUCUAAUAAUCCCUGCCACGAAGGACAACUGCUAACUCCAAAAAGAAGGCUGUGGCCUCUAUUUUCUAAAACUGAGAUGUCAUAUAUUUUUCAGCACUAGCGGUGAGGGAUUCACGAACUAAAAGCCAUAAAGUUUUAAAAAAAUAAAACAAAUGAAAAUAACAACAACAAAUCCCAUAGUAAGUAAGCCCCGGCCAGGAAUUCCUUUGUAAAGCCCAUGUAAAUUCACUAAAAUUGGAUGCCACCCAUUAAGCCACGGGCAUUCUCUGGAUGCCACAUUCAGGAAAGCGCAUCAAUGACUUUUGUAUAAAACUCAUUUUAAGUUUCAGAAUAAUUGCCUUUCAGGUUUAACUAUGCUAUGCAAACGGAAACCCCACAAAACUGAGGAGGGCAGACAGGCUUUUAGGGUGGGAGGUGUCUCGCACUACCCACCCACCGCGUGCCUGGGUCCCUAGGAGAAGGCGCUCGAGGCUGAUCCCUUGUGGUCCAUGCUCCCUCCCCACAAGCUCGUCCCAAGGGUGCGGCUCUUCACACCGUCCAGGCCCUGGGGCAUGGCUGGGCCACAGCUCAUGGGUGGUCAUGGCCGUGGUGUGAUGUCAAGACAGAGCCGGGUCCACCCUCCCUGCCUCUCCCUGCACACAGGCAAUGGGAUGUCUCGGCCUGUGACCCAGCACAGCCUCCACGAGGCAGAGCAGCCGCUUUGCCCACGUGGACGCCUGCGCAGAGUUUUCAGCAGCUGUGGCGACGCUGCGAUGCACGGUCCAGAUGCUCCCUCACGGGAACACUUGCUACAGCAGCUUCUGGGGUCCUUGCCAGCCCCUCUGGGGACGGCCUUCAUCAGAACAGGCCACCACCCCCUCCCCAAGGUCACGCAUCUUCCCAGGAUGGCCAACAUCAAAUACCUUAUGAACAGAGUAGUAUGAAAGCCUGGCCAUCUCAGCCCACCUUGGGAAAACUCUGGAGGUUCCUUCUAGUUCUAGAACUCCGAAGACGUCAGCCUAGACCGUUCAUGCACCUGCAUCAAUGCUCAACUUCUCCCUCUCUCCACACCUGCUUCCUCACUUUCCCUUCCACAGGAGGAUCCAUGGGAGCUCAGUAGUAAACACUCUGCACAUUAAAUUCUGACUCAGAGGCUGCUUCCUGGGAAACUCAACCUGGGAGAGUAGGGUUCUGGUCGCCCUCCGUCAUCAACAUCUGGGAGUCUAUAAAGGGGGAUCCCCUGCUGAGGUUUCUAGGUCUAAGACCCCUACUGCACCCUCAUUCACCAGGAAAGUCCUGCAGGCGGAUGCAAUGAGCACAUACUAACUAUCAAUCCAAACUGUAUUUCAUGUUCCUUUUGGAUACUCCAUCAUGUCAUAAUCCACAUGUCAAUGGAGAAGAUUAGGAGUGGGCAAUGCAAUUUAAGCAUCUACUGACAAGGGAUUAAUUUCCCAAAUAUACAAACAGCUCAUACAGCUUAAUAUCAAAAAAAAAAAAAAACCAAACAGCCCAAGCAAAAAAUGGACAGAAGACCUAAGUAGACAUUUGUCUAAAGAAGACAUUCAGAUGGCCAACAGGCACGUGAAAAGAUGCUCAAUAUCACUGUUACAGAGAAAUGCAAAUUAACAGCCAUCAUCAAAAAGUCUACAAAAAAAUACAGAGUUCCUGUAGUGGUGCAGCAGAAACCAAUGUGACUAGUAUCCAUGAGGAUGCAGGUUUGAUCCCUGGCCUCACUCAGCGGGUUAGGGAUCCGGCAUUGCCAUGAGAUGUGGUAUAGGUUGCAGACACAGCUCAAAUCCCACAUUGCUGUGGCUGUGGUGUAGGCCAGCAGCAAUAGCUCCAAUUCAACCCCUAGCCUGGGAACUUCCAUAUGCCAUGGGU
This 5345-nucleotide long non-coding RNA is filed under the name Sus scrofa (pig). Its description in RNAcentral is "lncRNA (ENSSSCG00015078548.1)". Lineage: Eukaryota; Metazoa; Chordata; Mammalia; Artiodactyla; Suidae. The record is from RNAcentral.